GAGUGGAAGGAAGGGAGGAGCCAAGGACUUUCUCCCCUACUCUUGUUGCUCCAGGGCUCCACCUCCUCCAGGAUCCACCUCCCACAAGACAGGCCCUUGUUUCCUGGUCCUCACUAUGCAGAGAGUCUCCAUAUGAAUGCAGCUUCCCGAGGGCCUUGGGUCUCGGGCUCUAUCUACUCCACCUCCUCCAUUGUCCCUCCACUAGGGAUGUGAUAGCUUCCCAAUUCACUAAUUUCCGCCAUCUUUUUGGCUUUCAGCUCUCCCUACAUCUUUGUGGCUAGUUUCCUAAGUUAGGCUCCUUCAAUAGGACUAUUUGGCUGGACUCUACAUCUCUGGCUGGACCCCAACUAAUACAUCAGUUGAUGGAGAUGCCUUCCAAAUAUUGGACUCCUAGCAAGAAUCUCUGCCUGAAAAUAUCUCAGCAAGAUGGUGGUGUACGUAGACUCUGAACUCACCUCCUCCCACGAACACAACCAGGUUACAACUACUCUUGGAAAAGUUACCGUGGAGAGAGAGCUGAAAGCUGGAUAAAAAGAACCCCCACAACAAGGGACAGUCCUGACUGAAGUGGAAGAGGCAGAAAUUCCUUCUGGAGAAUAAAACCACCUUCAUGAGCCACAGACCUUCACAGCCAGCCAGGUGGGAGCCACCCUAAGGUACGCAGCCCUCCCUGGAGGAGUGGGGACCUGAGGGCGGCUAUGUUACCGCUAUAAGCAUCCUUCAGACUCAGCACAGCUGAGAUGGCUUCGUGGGCUAUUAACUGCAGUGGGGGUACCACCAGAAAAGCCAUUGGAAGAAAGCUGAAAAACCCAGCUCUCAAAGGGCCCACACACAAAUUCACCCGUCUCAAGGAGCAACCUAAAAUCUCCAAAAAGAAAGCUGCACAGUGCUUUGGUGAAAAGAGACUCACCUCGUAGGCUUUGGGUGCAUCUCGGUGAGAGGUGAGAUCUCUCCAGAGACUGAGACACUGGUGGUGGCCAUUGUUGUGACCUAGUCCAGGCGUGCUGACACGGAUGCCGGCAGUUGCCAAUUAAGUUCUUCCCCUGGCCUGUUAGCCCAGGGGUCUGCCCCACCCACUAGAGUGCAGAUUUAAUCCACUUCAGCCAGGGCAGGCAGCCUGCCCUAGAGACCAGCUCCACCCGACAGCAAGCCCUCAGACUACUUGUCAGCAUGCCUAGACUGAGUGUCUUGAUCCUCUACAGGCAGAUAAGCAAAUGGAGACAAACUGGUUGGCAAUCUUCUUAAGGUCAUAUAGAGGCCAAGUCAGGAUUUGAAGCCAGAUGGAACCUGUUCUCCCUAACCAGUAAGCUCUGGAAGAGAGUAAUAGGUCUGGGGAUCAUCAGGGUGGACUUCUCAGGUGAGGUGGCUUCAGCUUGGCGUGGAAGGAUCUUGAAGGUGUGCUGAGUCAUGCUUCAUUCCUAAACAACCAUAGGGAUGCAGGAACACCUGUGGUAUGUCAGGAUAAGAAGGGAAGCUGAAUGAAUGGAUGAAACUGGGGAAGCAUGUGCAAGAAGGUGAGGAGAGUGAGGCAGGACAGGGAGGCGGGACCUCAGGGAAGAGGCUGGCAGGUGCAGUAGAGGCUUGUGGGUACAAUAGAGGUUUGUAGGUACAGUGGGUGAGAUUGGAGGAAAGCACAUUGUUUUGAACUUCUGGAGAAUUAACAGGCUGUGAGUUGGGUGAAGCAAUUGAUUGACUAAAGUCAGCUAAAAAACGGUCCACCACAGACUCUCUGAGGCCAAACCUCAGCGGCUGGAGGAUUCAGUCCUUAUGCUGUGCAGACAGCUCCUCCUGAGGACUCACAUCGGACACAGCAUGCAGGCAAUCAGCCGGAAGCAAUCUAGAGCAGAGGCCAAUGGAUGCAAGCUUGUCCCACCCACCCCUAACAAGACCAGCCUGCAGUGUGGGGCACCCCAUGGUUCCGGCAUGAGCAAACAAAGGCUGAACACCGAGCUCUCCUGGCAAACACCCUUUAUCACAGAGUCCACAGACGGGAGACAGAUAAAGACUUGGAAAGACCUGCCAGUCAGACAAGCAGCCCACGGGAAGCCUGUGCACAUCCAUGUCAGGUCCGAAGAGACUUCUGUUUCACCAGCCUACCAUUGCAUCAUCAGAAGAGAAUUCCAAAAAUAUUUCAUAUUUUCAAAGGUGAUAUUGGUUCAUUCCACAGAACCAGGAAAUUAUCAAAAAGAUACUUACUUUCAUGCUAUCGAAGUACUGCUGGACUUGCAACAACUAUUGCUAACAUGUUCUUGAAUUAAGCAUCUAUUGUGUAUUUAGAGUAGAAAGUACAGUCAAGUGUUUCACUAACUGCGAGAAAUGUGGAUCCUUCAGCUACAGAGAAAACAGCUUUAAAAUCCUGACGGCCUUAGUGUCUAAAAUCCUCCAUGAUUUGGCCUCAAAUUUCUGUGUCUUCCAGUGAGCAGAAGAGAGCAGAGAUCUUGGAUCGUUUUGAAAGAAUAUCACCUUUUUAAAAAAGAAUAUCAACGUAGUUAUUGCGGCCACUCCAUGGACGCGGGAUGGGCCCCCAUCCAAUAUGUGGUUCCCACAUCAAGACUGAUGACGUCACUCAAUCACCCAAAGUGCAUGAAAAGAUUUGUUACCAGCCUCCCAAGUUGGUCCCUGACGACUCGGGAGAGCAGGAGAGGAGACUUUCGUGGGGUCUUUCUGGCCCUUAGGAGCUGGCUGGGUGAGGACUCCUGCGUGCUUUGAACCUUCCCAAUGGUGCCGAAGAAAGGAGCGUGUGGGCACUCCUACCCAUGUGCCCAGAUGGGGCAGAAGGGAACAGGGAGGAGGAGACUUGAAAGACAUCUGCAGCCAGUUGUCAGAAAUAGAGUCAGGUUUUUUAUUACAGAAACUAUCAUAGGAAAAAUCAGAAUUCGUGGGGAAGAAUGUACACUGUCAUCUUUGUACUGUUGCUAAUGAUCUGUUUCAUGGUGGGUGGGGAUCACUUCCUUCUCAGCAUUUAAGGCCUCAGCGUUGUGACUGGCCUGGGCUCCAACUUACCUUUCUCCCCUUAUUUUCCACUCUUGUCUUUGGAAGCAGCCCUGAGCCACGAGAACCAUGGUCAGCUCUCUGCCGUGACCUCCGCUCCUGCCCAGCUCUGGUCCUGGAAGCCUUUCCCACCUAUUUGCUGUGUAUGAGUCUUAUCCGUCUUCAAGUCCAGUUCCAACGCGUGAAACUUUUUCUGGUUCCACCUCUUGGAAGAGAUUCUUGCUUCUUCUCAAGCCCCUGAGCAUAUUUUGUUUCCUCUUAGACCACUUGUUCUCUAGCCAUGUCUGCAAGGGCCUGGAGACCAGAAUCCAAGAGACCCACUGAUUUUUCUGUCUUCCACACUGUCUUCCUCAGAGGUGUCUGUGCCAGGAGGUUGAGAACCUCAUUUCACACACUGUUAUUCCCUUAACACUUGGAGCAGUGCCUGGCACAGAACUGGUGCUCACUGUAUACCAUUCUGUAAAUAAAUAAUAGAUGAAUAUGUGUUGAAUAAAUGAAAGCUAAAUUCAUAGAGGCUGUCUGAUUCAAACUUGUAUUAUAUCCUUAAAUUGCUUCUUAGGCAUUGCUUAAAUAAAAGGGAAAUGCACGUUUUCUUGAGAGUUUGGUGUCUCAAGGUAGAGUUGGCUGUUGAGCUAAUUUAAAGGGGAAAUCAGUACUAGGCUGGGCAUUCACAACUGGGUGUCUCUGAUACGGUCCUGGGACAGAGAAUCUAGCAUUUUCAGAGGCUUCUCAGGACUGACUGUGGCUGACCCAGGGAGUAUUGCACAGCCGGCGGACCGUCGUGAAGGUGCUGGACAAGCACAGACAUUGCCCUGCCUCUGGUUUUCAGAACCUGUGCCAGUUCUGUUCUUCUUUUUAUCACAGCUGCAGACAAAAUUGGCAGAUGCUGAGAGCUGUGCACACAUGGUCCUGGUCCGUGCCCACAUGCGCAGCGUUUAUUGCAGGCCAACCCAGGAGAGGAUACCAGACACGAGUAAGCUCAGUUACGGAACUUGGGGGUAAGAGUGAGGGAGGUAGAUCUAACGGGGGAAGAGAAAGCAGGAAGGAAAGCUCCAAGGAGGAAAUUUUGCCUCAAUGCUCACAGCCCUACUCAUCUCCAGGAAGGCACAAGCUGAAGGCUGUCUGCAGAAGCUUAUGGUACCAGAGCCCACGUACGUGAUCCCCAGAUAAGGGCGUCAAAGUCCAGCACCAAAAACUCCAGAUUUCAACUGAUGGUUGUUAAAAAAAGUCUCCUUACCUUUCUCUGUGUCUCUUCAUGUUUGAGAACUUGCCUGGCCUUCACUCUCAAGUUACAGAUGCCACAGAGGAAAGAGCAAAGGGAGAAGAGAAGGUCCCCUAUUCUAGAAAGGGGUGAUCAAUGAUCAGUGGGAUCAGAGGACUGACCACAAAGCUGAUUACUAAGAGCCGUGGGGAGACUCACUUUCCCCUUCUUGAAUCUGCACUGGUUUUGCGAUUUGCUUUGAUGGAAGUGACAUUGUAUGCAUUCAGAGCCCAGGCCUCAAAGGUCUUGCGGGAUCUGCCUGUGCCCUCUUGGAUGCUGCCCUGAAAUUCCCACAGAGGAGCCAGUCUAGCUUACAGGAAGGUGGGAGGCCACAUGGAGAAGAACCAAGGCUCCUGAGCCAGGAGUCAGCACCCACUGCCAACGUGAGGGAGGCAUCUGGGACCUUCCAUUUCUGCCGAACCACCGAGUGCAGUCGUGUGGGGAGCGCAGGAGAAACCAGCAGAGGAGCAGCCUGCCAGCUCAAGGAUCCGGGAAAAACAGUAAACCACAUUGUUCUUGGCCACUAAGCUCUGGGGUGAUUUGUCACAGGGCUGAAAAUAGCCGAUGCACAGCCUGCUUGUGAGUUUCACAUUUACUUACUCGACAUGGAUGGUGCUGCUUGAGUGUCAUGUUUGUAUUAGGAAGCAGUGAAAUGAGACUUCAGAAGCUGGCUGACACCAGACUCAUGCUUUGCAAAUCAGGAUGGGCUGACAAUUAAGAAGGAAAUAGAACAGAACAGAUGUCAGCAUCACACAUAGCAAAGCUAUGGACAUGCCUGAAAUGAAUGAAAGUUGGAAGCUUCAGCAAGGAAACAGAAGCUCUCACCAAAGAAACAGGUGACAUAAAGAAGCAAACAAAAAUUUUAGAGGGUAAAAAUGUAGCAACCAAAAUAAAAAGCUCAGUAGAUGGAUUGACAAGCAGAAUGGAGGGACAGAGGAAAGAAUCAGUCAACUAAAAGAUAGAAUAAGAAAUUACCCAAUCCAAAUAACAGAGAAAAAAUUGAGCAAAAAAUUAUGAACAGAGCCUGCCUCAGGCACCUGUGGGAUG
Molecule: long non-coding RNA, 5299 nt
Filed under: Equus caballus (horse)
Lineage: Eukaryota; Metazoa; Chordata; Mammalia; Perissodactyla; Equidae
Description: lncRNA (ENSECAG00000036702.3)
Source: RNAcentral